GGGGCUGUGGCGCAAUUGGUAGCGCACCUCGGUCGCAUCGAGGGGGUUGAGGGUUCGAGUCCCUUCAGCUCCACCA
This 76-nucleotide transfer RNA is filed under the name Bifidobacteriaceae bacterium. RNAcentral's name for it is "tRNA-Ala". It matches the Rfam family "tRNA". Rfam says of the family: Transfer RNA (tRNA) molecules are approximately 80 nucleotides in length. The record is from RNAcentral. Lineage: Bacteria; Bacillati; Actinomycetota; Actinomycetes; Bifidobacteriales; Bifidobacteriaceae.